GAGGAGUUAGUUAAAAUAUAAUAACAUCAGAAUGUCAAACUGAAGUAAUCGAAAAGAUACCCCUCU
Molecule: transfer RNA, 66 nt
Filed under: Odontotermes sp. B TB-2017
Lineage: Eukaryota; Metazoa; Arthropoda; Insecta; Blattodea; Termitidae
Description: tRNA-Asp
Source: RNAcentral